UACAGAGGGUGCAAGCGUUAAUCGGAAUUACUGGGCGUAAAGCGUGCGUAGACGGUUAUGUAAGUCGGGUGUGAAAGCCCCGGGCUCAACCUGGGAAUUGCAUUCGAGACUGCAGAGCUUGAGUACCGGAGAGGGUGGCGGAAUUCCCCAAGUAGAGGUGAAAUUCGUAGAUAUGGGGAGGAACACCGGUGGCGAAGGCGGCCACCUGGACGGUCACUGACGCUGAGACGCGAAAGCGUGGGGAGCAAACAGG
This 253-nucleotide ribosomal RNA is filed under the name uncultured bacterium. RNAcentral describes it as "partial 16S ribosomal RNA". It matches the Rfam family "Bacterial small subunit ribosomal RNA", at positions 524 to 776 of the family's 1533-position model. The record is from RNAcentral.